Mercenaria mercenaria is the source of this 2322-nucleotide long non-coding RNA. RefSeq lists it as uncharacterized. NCBI's taxonomy places the organism in Eukaryota, Metazoa, Mollusca, Bivalvia, Venerida, Veneridae. The transcript is spliced from 2 exons. The record is from RefSeq and is a predicted model, not a curated record.
AGCUUCCACAUCAUACAUGUAUCUUUCAUUAGCUGACUGUAAAUGACACAUUUGCCCAAGAAUAUCAAAAAUUCAAAUCUAAACAGGAAGUUCUGUGAGAGCAUGAUGGAGUUAUUUCACUACAAAGAAGUUUAUUUAUAUAGCUCUUUGUUUUCUAUGUGCAGUUUAUAUUUUACACGGAAGUUUAAGAGUGAUGAAAAUAAUACAAAUGGUGAGUCAAUAUAAUUUAUUUAUUUUCCAACAGUAAUCUAGAUUACCUGUAACUAUGAUAAAUCAUGGAUUCAAACUGGAAGCAGGUUGUUUACUUUUCGUUUUGGUAGCUUUCACAAAUGACUGUUGCUUCACAUAUUUUUUUUUGUUCAAAUGCUUCUGUUUUGCAAAUUAAAAAGCUGUAUGUUUUAGUUUAUCAUGCUUUUAAUUUACUAAAUAAAAAGUGAAUACUUUUAAAUGAAAUUAUUCAACGGAGACAAAAACUUUAAACCAGUAGAGUUAUCUCCCCAAUCACAGGGUAAACAAUGCUACCAGUCUGCUUACCAUGGCACUGCAAUUACUUCAGUCUGUAAAUUCAGAGAAUAAUAUUUUGCUUUAAAAUUAGUGUUUUAACCUGUUUUUACUUAUUAAUUAGUCUAUUGGUGUUGCACACAUUUAUGUUAAGGUAAAUGAAAAUUAUUGUUAACAAAAAUAAUUGUUUAUGGAUUAUUUACUUGCUUUUAUAAAUGAUUAUAUGAGCCACGCCAUGAGAAAACCAGCCACUAUGUUGGUUUUCUCAUGGCACGGCUCAUAUUGUUUAUUUUACAAGACUGGGGUAAUUAAAUUUAUUAAAGGUCCAUUACUAAGGGAAAGUGAGUUGGCAAUUUUUUUCAUAGCCAGUGCAUAGACUUCUGCAAGACACUAAAUAAUGAAGAUUGGCAGGUCAAAAUUACAGAAGGUCUUUGGAACUCAAAGAAAUGUAUGUGUAUUAUGUUGAAAUUUCAAUGAAUCGACAGAAUGACCCCCCAGGUCUUUUUAACUUUCUUCAUACUUCAUAGAAAAAUAAUUGUACAUAUACUGCGAUUUAUUUCGAAUUUCUACAUACCAACUUUCAUUUUCCAAUAAAAUGAAAUAGUAUCUGUGCUUUUUAAAAGAAAUUAAAAUGUUCACUUUCCUUAGUAUUGGACCUUUAAUUUAAUCAUGUUCAUCCAGAUAAUUCUUUUAAUCUAUUGAAGAGUAUAAUGUAAUAAGAAUAAAGACUUAUGUAACCCUCUAUUUGCUAUACAUUUGGUAGAACUAGUAACAUUUUUUGGCCCCAUCAUCACACUGUAUACAGUUAAAAUUUUAGUUCAUUGACAUACCCAAUAAUAAACCAAAGGUUUUUAUGAACAUUUUAAGUUUUAAACUAAAUCUAUUUUCAGGUAUAGCAACAUAUGUCAUGUAUGUAUAUAGGUAUGGCACACAUGAAUGAAUUGGGACCUUAUCAACGUAUUGUGUUCAAAGAAAACCUAACGAAUCCAGCAGUUCAAAAACAUGUUUUGCAGUGAGACGAAUGGUGACAAUGGCUUUGUGGCAGUUAGUGAAAAACUGUGGAAUUUUACACUGAUGAUGGCUACAAUUUACAGAAAAUUUCUCAACCAAUAGUGACAUUCAAUUGAAAGUAAUAGCAUAUCUUACACCGACUAUACAUCAGAAUGUUGUUGAAAAAAGCCAUGGCAAAAAGUGGAAAAUACUGAUCAAUAUACUUCAAUGACUUUGGAACUGAGUAGAAAAUGGUGACAUUUUAGCACCAUAUUGUGUGUAUACUUUUUCUUGCAUCCGCUAAGUCCAGCCAGGAUCCAUGCUGUUCACUAAUGGUUUCUAUGGUUGCAAUAGCAUUUGAAAGCGAGCAGCAUGGAUCCUGACCAAAUCAAGCUGAUGCGCAGGCUGGUCUGUAGCCAUGCUGAUCGCAAAGCCUCUAUGUUGGUUUUCUCCUGGCACGGCUCAUAUAUAAAUUCAUGUAUGUAAAUAAUGUUUUGCUUAUGGUAUUUUGUCAGCACAGGUAAUGAAAUACUAAAAAAACAUAAAAUAUUUUGUUAGUGUUUUGUUCAAAUUUGUGAUCUUGCUCUUUUGCAUAUCAUAUGUUUUGUUGGUAUUUUGUUAACAGUGUUUUGUUAGUGUUUUCUUUAGCACAUAUAAUGAAACACUAAUAAAACAUUAAGUAUUCUGUUAGUGUUUUGUUUAAGCCUAAUUUGCAUAUCAUGUUUUGUUGGUAUUUCGUUAGCAAUGUUUUGUUAGUGUUUUGUUAGUGUUUUGUUACCUCAUUUGCAUGUCAUUUGCUAUACUAAUAAAACAUCAUCAAAACACAGUAUA